UCAACCCCUUGUUGUAUGCUUGCAUGAAGCAUGAAUUAUUGAUUUUUUUCAGAGAUUCGUGUUUGAAAAAGUAUAAUGUUUCAAAGUUCAUGUGCAUUUAUUAGGAGUUUAAGAUGGAAAUAUAUAGCGCUAAUAUCUCUUUACUUAAUUCUUUUAUGUGGAGAAGUAUUCUUUCUUUUUCAUGAACCACACAAUGCAAUUGCCAUCGAACUGUACUUUUUUGAUCCAGUAAUCGAGCAGCUUUUAUUCAUUUCAAAUGUCGUUAUCGCAAUUGGAACGAUAUUUGUUGUAGUAAUUACCUAUUUAUCUUGGUGCAUUAUCCAUGAAAAACAUAUAAGAAGCUUUCGGUAUAUGUUCAUCGCAGCUGCACUCAUCUCAGUUUUGGACGCUUCUACCGUAUUUCUGUAUUCUGGAAACGAUAACGAAUUGGAAAAAACAGCAAAAGAUGUGUUUUUACGUUGGGUUCAUGAAUAUCAUGACCGUCCGAAAGUAAAAGCUAUCGUUGAUUAUAUUCAAACUGAGUUGGAAUGUUGUGGUGAUGAAAGUUCGUAUGAUUGGUAUUAUCACGCAAAUGGGGUUCCUCCCUCUUGCUGUAUAAUCAAUUUUACCAGUAAUGACAUUUGUCAAGAAGAAAAUACUUUUUUAACCGGAUGUUCUGAGAGAAUUGCGCAUUUAGUGAACGAAACACAAAAUAAACAUAUGUGGAUUAUUUUUUGGAUAUCACUGCUAAUGUCAGCGAUGCUGAUGAUGGCAGCUGUGGCAAGAAUCCGAGGAAUCAACUCGAACUGAACAUCUUUUCGCAUUUUUCGUUUAUCACAGGUGCGAGUAUGGUUCGGAAAAAUCGCUGAAGUUAUACCAAGAAGUAAAGUGAGGUUUGGAACUUUGCUGAACCUUAUAACAGUGUUUCAAAAAAGAGAGAGAGAGAGAAAUGAGCAGAAGACGUUAAUUCCGAUCAAAAGUAGAAUAUUAUUCGACGUACCGCUUGAAAUUGUGUUUAUCGCAGAACACGCUCGUGAUAUAAUUUAUUUUUGUUGUAAAAUGACUCAACGAUAAUAAAUAAAUACAAAAAUAUAA
Planococcus citri (citrus mealybug) is the source of this 1074-nucleotide long non-coding RNA. RefSeq lists it as uncharacterized. NCBI's taxonomy places the organism in Eukaryota, Metazoa, Arthropoda, Insecta, Hemiptera, Pseudococcidae. The record is from RefSeq and is a predicted model, not a curated record. The transcript has 6 exons.